This 253-nucleotide ribosomal RNA is filed under the name uncultured bacterium. Its description in RNAcentral is "partial 16S ribosomal RNA". It matches the Rfam family "Bacterial small subunit ribosomal RNA", at positions 524 to 776 of the family's 1533-position model. The record is from RNAcentral.
UACGUAGGUGGCAAGCGUUGUCCGGAAUUAUUGGGCGUAAAGCGCGCGCAGGCGGCUUCUUAAGUCUGAUGUGAAAGCCCACGGCUCAACCGUGGAGGGUCAUUGGAAACUGGGGAGCUUGAGUACAGAAGAGGAGAGUGGAAUUCCAUGUGUAGCGGUGAAAUGCGUAGAUAUAUGGAGGAACACCAGUGGCGAAGGCGGCUCACUGGCCCGUAACUGACGCUCAGGCGCGAUAGCGUGGGGAUCAAACAGG